GGGCCCGCACAAGCGGUGGAGCAUGUGGUUUAAUUCGAUGCAACGCGAAGAACCUUACCUACUCUUGACAUCCAGAGAAGCCAGCGGAGACGCAGGUGUGCCUUCGGGAGCUCUGAGACAGGUGCUGCAUGGCUGUCGUCAGCUCGUGUUGUGAAAUGUUGGUUAAGUCCCGCAACGAGCGCAACCCUUAUCCUUGUUUGCCAGCACGUAAUGGUGGGAACUCCAGGGAGACUGCCGGUGAUAAACCGGAGGAAGGUGGGGACGACGUCAAGUCAUCAUGGCCCUUACGAGUAGGGCUACACACGUGCUACAAUGGCGCAUACAGAGGGCAGCAAGCUAGCGAUAGUAAG
Molecule: ribosomal RNA, 350 nt
Filed under: uncultured bacterium
Lineage: Bacteria
Description: bacterial SSU rRNA
Rfam family: Bacterial small subunit ribosomal RNA
Source: RNAcentral